GAAAUAAUAAAUAAAUAAAGCUUCUAACUUUAUAAUAAUGAAUUAAAAAUUCAUUUUAUUUCU
This 63-nucleotide transfer RNA is filed under the name Dolichovespula xanthicincta. RNAcentral's name for it is "tRNA-Ser". The record is from RNAcentral. Lineage: Eukaryota; Metazoa; Arthropoda; Insecta; Hymenoptera; Vespidae.